AUUGCAAAAAAGAAAAGUGAAAUUCCCCUUGUACCGGUGAAUUGCUUAAAAAUGUGAAGAACCACCAUUGGCAAAGGCAACUCUCUGGUCUGUAACUGACGCUAAGGACCGAAAGCGUGGGGAGCGAACAGGAUUAAAUACCCUGGUAUUCCACCCCGUAAACAAUAAUUGCUAAUUGUUAGGGGUUUUCCGCCCCUUAUUGCUGCAUCUAACGCAUUAACCACUCCGCCUGGGAAGUACGGUCGCAAAACUGAAACUCAAAGGAAUUGACGGGAGCCCGCACAAGCGGUGAAGCAUGUGGUUUAAUUCAAAGCAACGCGAAAAACCUUACCAGGUCUUGACUUCCUCUGACACUCCUAGAGAUAGGACUUCCCCUUCGGAGGCAGAGUGACAGGUGGUGCAUGGUUGUCGUCAGCUCGUGUCGUGAGAUGUUGGGUUAAGUCCCGCAACGAGCGCAACCCUUGAUCUUAGUUGCCAGCAUUCAGUUGGGCACUCUAAGGUGACUGCCGGUGACAAACCGG
This 521-nucleotide ribosomal RNA is filed under the name Bacillus subtilis. RNAcentral's name for it is "bacterial SSU rRNA". It matches the Rfam family "Bacterial small subunit ribosomal RNA", at positions 642 to 1166 of the family's 1533-position model. Lineage: Bacteria; Bacillati; Bacillota; Bacilli; Caryophanales; Bacillaceae. The record is from RNAcentral.